This is a long non-coding RNA of Cynoglossus semilaevis (tongue sole), 3566 nucleotides long. RefSeq lists it as uncharacterized. The transcript is spliced from 3 exons. The record is from RefSeq and is a predicted model, not a curated record. NCBI's taxonomy places the organism in Eukaryota, Metazoa, Chordata, Actinopteri, Pleuronectiformes, Cynoglossidae.
UUCACAAACUUUUGAUGAAAAACCAAAUGAUGAUUUUCAUAACAUUUCAGUUCAAAACUAAUUCACUGAUUCAAUCCCAGGUUUUUUUGUAUAGAGUUCUCCUCUUCUCCCUGUGUGUGUGUGUGUGUGUGGGGGGGGUUCUCCAGGUUUUCCAUUUUCCUCCAUAGUCCAAUAAUGUGCAGAUAGGAGUUAAGGUUAAUAGUCACUCUAAGAUGUAGAUAGGUGUGAAUCUUUUUUGUCUCUUUAUGUGGCCCUGUGAUGGGCAGAUGAACUUGGAUUGGCUCCAGAGACCCAGAAAAUUAUUAGGCACUAGAAAAUGGGUGGACAUUUUCCGUACUUUUAUUUUCAAUGUCAACCACAAACCAAAGCCUGAAUUAUAUUGAUACUUGAACUGCAGCUUUAGUGCAGCUUUUAUGGUUACUUUUAAAAAUCACGUGACUUAAGGAUGAGUUGGGCUCUAUAUCCAUGAAAUGCAGUAAUUAGUAAACAUCUUAAUGUUUUUAUAGGUCUGGUACUGCUGCAAAACUGUUUCACUGGGUUUCUAUUGUUGAAGCAUGUCACACUGUUCAAACAUACUCUUUAUGCUUGACUUGAGGAAAGUAUUUUAAAUACUGUAUUUUAUAUACUGUUACUGUUGUAGCUUUUCACAUAAAGCAUGUUAUUUAACUUAAUUGCGAUAUGUACAGUUUUUAGACGAUGGAACACACUGCUCUUUAUUAACAUUAACAGUUGACGUCUAUUCUUCAUAUUAGCAAGGUUUGUCAGUAUUUCCGAAUGGCUUGUGGUCAAAUGUGAAAUGAUGCCCCCUGGUGGUUGCUUGUGGUAUUACACAAUUUGAAGGUCCCCACGCGGCACAAAUACCAGAAAAAAAAUGAUACAAAAUUUAGAAACCUUGGUGAGCACUAUGCUCACCCUGUUGUAAAAAAAUUAAAAAGCAUUUCUGUCCUAAAACGAGCUUUCUACGUCUAUGUAAAUUUGGUGUCCUCACGAGUAGAGUGUGUAUCCGAGGAAAAGCAAAGUCCCCACGCUCCAUGAAAACGUGUGUGUGUAACAACUGUUGUGAUAAAGGAAUCAAGUGGAUUAAUUAGAAGGGAUGAGGCCCAGAGGGCUGUGGUGAGGUGACUGCAUCCCUGCCAAAUUUUAGAGGUUUAACAGCAUAUUAGGAAAAGAUGCAUCACACCACAGCAUUCAUUUAUUGAGGAAUUAAUUUACAAAGAAGGUUUAAAUGCAAUCAGGGCACAUAGACUUGACACUGAUGUUAAUAAUACCAAACAGACUCAGAGUUAGCAAGGUGAGGCAAGGGCAGUGGAGUAUAUUUCAGAGAUGUAACACAUGAAAACAUUUUUCUCACACUGAGAUGACUAGGGCGUGCUGCUGUCAGACUUUUGAACAACAACAAAAAACAGCCGGGAUCAUCAUGGACGUGAGGCUCUUAUGCCUCUAUUUUCUCCCCAUGGGGAUGGAAAUGGAGUUCUCCGAAAGAUAACAGCUGCGCACAUCUGUUAACAAGGGUGUUUCAGAUCCGAAACAAAACCUGUGUUCAUCUGGAGACACGUGCAUACAAAUUGAAGGUGGAAGCACAUUAACUCCCCAAUCAUCAUCAAUAAGCAUCAGAGAAAACAUAGACACGAGGAGGAUUGCAGCUCGCAAUUCUAGAUGGCAGGGAAGUCCUGAUUCCACCCUCCCACAAUUCUGCAGGGUUGGACCCAGCAGUGGAACUCAGCCAGGGCCAGACCUCACUUCUCAUUACGGUUCGUUUGAAUCUCCACUUGGCUUUUUCUCUGUGCCUUUUAUUUCUGCCUGGUUGAUUGCCUUAGUGACUGACUUUGAGGUCAGUCAGGGUUAAUUUGCUGACAUCAGUCCUUUUUCUACCUGGGUGUUUGGAACAGAUUUUGUGAUUAUUGCAGUUACUUGACCUAAUGGACCUUCAGACUCUCUUCACAUCGUAAUUAAAAAUGUACAAAUAACAAUAGAAAAUACUCAUUGAUAUGUCUAUGAUUAAAUAUCCUUAUGAGAAUAUUCUUAAUUACAAUCAUCAUGACUUUAAUAACUGGAGUUACUCCCAACAUGUUUUUUGUGUCCAUUGUAAUUACGGACAGUGAUUUGACCAAAAUGUUUAAUCAACUUUUAAUGAAAACAGAAUCACUGCUGGUAAAAGUUAAUUAAUUAAAGUGAAACCGUGAAAACUGAUGGCCUGUGGGAUCCAUAAGUGUAAGACGGAGCUCAAUCAUUUUCAACUGGCAGAUUAUUAAUCACGCCUUCUUUGGUUCUUUUAUGUUUUUCUUCCACUCAGGUCUGUUUGCUUUGAUUUGCUGAAUAGCUUCAGUGUUCGUUGUAUUAGAUUAACCUUCAGAACAUUUUUUAUUAUUUUGUGAAACAGUAUUGUUUGGUGCAACUAUGUAUUUGAUGGCGCCUCUUGUGGCUGACUAUUUUUGUUGCAGUGUAAAUUUCCCCAUUGUUGGAUGAAUAAGGGACUCAAUAACCAGCAUACCAAAGGUAUAACCAGUAAUAUGUGCAAUAUCUUCACUCCCAAGUGCAAUAUUGCACACUUCUUGAUUGUAAUAUGUAAAAUGGUUUGAUUUUGUCUUUGACUAAUUAUUAUCUGCAUUCGUUAAUUUAUUAUUAUAUUGUGGCAGGCACUGAGGGGCAUGCCUAUCACCCAGUAGGGUUAUGGGUAAAGGGGCGUGUUAAGUGCCCAUAGAAUUUGGCGCUCAGCGCCAUGUUCACUCUCUGUUCCUGUCGUCACGGACUAAUAAAGACAUAUAGAGCACCUGCGCCUCAGAGUCAUCCUUCAACUGCCACAACAUCAACUUUUUAUUCUUGGACUGCCAUAUGUCAACAUAAUUAAACCAGCAAAAUUUACGGACAGUAUAAUGUUAAAAACCGCAAGCUGACUAUGAUUCUCUUUAUUUUAUUUCUGUAACACUACUGUAAACUUCAUUCUUUAUACCUUGUACUACACUUUGCUGUCAACACUGUGAAUUUCCCCAUUGUGGGACAAAUGAAGGACUUCUUAAUCUUAAUCUUUAUGAAUGUAAAGUAAGCCUACGAGUGUCACAUCAACUAACACCAUUUUACUCAACAUCAAUGUUCUAAUGAGUUUUCACCUUUCACGUUUCAGUGGACGUGUCUGAGGCGUUUCAUCUAUGCUGCUGAGCGGCUGAUCCACUGUCAGCCACUGAUUUUCAUCAAGGAGAUUCAGGACGCGUGGCAGAUAGAAAGACCGCAAAAUUGAAAAGGGGUGUCAAACAUGCAGCCCGCGGGCGAAAACCAGCCCGCUAAGGAGUUCAUCCCGCUUGAUAAAUUUUGAAAGCAAAAAAAGCACAAACACUUCAUGUUCAUGAUGUUUUGUAAAAUGAUAUUUCAUUAAAUAUGAAGAUUUGAAAAUGAAGACUUGUAGUACUUUGCAUAAAAAAGGGGAAAAAAUGGGCUUAUUAUUAUUUAUACGUAUACCGGUAGGUGUACUGUAUGUCCAGACCACUUGACAUCUAAUUAGGCUGAACCAAAAUGAGUUUGACACCUUUGCUGUAAAAAUGAUAACUGAAAAUAUUGAAGUACCUAAUACU